AUGUGUAGACCUUCACCGUGGAGUUUAUGCAAGAUCGCAUAUAGAAUAGAUAUAGCAUAUAUGGACAUGAGAGUGGAUGUCCUGCACGCAGCGGCAGCUGCACGCAGCUAUCCGGCCGCACCCGAGUUGCACGGUGAUGCGUGCAGUUUGAUUUGCAAAAGCGCUAAAGCAGUGAUACAUAGUGUAAUACAGAGAGAUACACUGCGUCGGGACCGUGCAGUGGGCUCGGUCCAUGGUACUUGUCUGGCGCGGACAAGAGACGUGCACCGCGCGUGGUGCAGAGUGGGCCAUCGGUUCUCUGCACGGCUGGCCCCGGUCGUCUGA
This 324-nucleotide ribosomal RNA is filed under the name Triticum aestivum (bread wheat). RNAcentral's name for it is "partial small subunit ribosomal RNA". Lineage: Eukaryota; Viridiplantae; Streptophyta; Magnoliopsida; Poales; Poaceae. The record is from RNAcentral.